GUGGGGAAUAUUGGGCAAUGGGCGAAAGCCUGACCCAGCAACGCCGCGUGAAGGAAGAAGGUUUUCGGAUCGUAAACUUCUAUCCUUGGUGAAGAUAAUGACGGUAGCCAAGAAGGAAGCCCCGGCUAACUACGUGCCAGCAGCCGCGGUAAUACGUAGGGGGCAAGCGUUGUCCGGAAUGAUUGGGCGUAAAGGGCGCGUAGGCGGCCCGGUAAGUCUGAAGUGAAAGUCCUGCUUUUAAGGUGGGAAUUGCUUUGGAUACUGUCGGGCUUGAGUGCAGGAGAGGUAAGCGGAAUUCCCGGUGUAGCGGUGAAAUGCGUAGAGAUCGGGAGGAACACCAGUGGCGAAGGCGGCCUGCUGGACAUUAACUGACGCUGAGGCGCGAAAGCGUGGGGAGCAAACAGGAUUAGAAACCCGUGUAGUCC
Molecule: ribosomal RNA, 425 nt
Filed under: uncultured bacterium
Lineage: Bacteria
Description: partial 16S ribosomal RNA
Rfam family: Bacterial small subunit ribosomal RNA
Source: RNAcentral